GAGAUUUCAUAUAAGAGUAAAAUGUUCAAAAUGUGAAGAAUGUGGCCAACUGUUUAACCGGAAGUCAAAUCACUCUGCACAUCAGAGAAUGCACACUGGGGAGAAACCUGCAAAUGUAAAGUGAUGAGUGGUUUGUACGAAUAGAUAUUUUGCAACCACCAUUUUCAUGCUAGCAUGAUACUUUGAAGAAGUAAAGAUAUGGAAAAGAACCCUUGACCUUCAGAGAUGUGGCCAUCGAAUUCUCACACAAGGAGCAGGAGGGCCUGGACCAGCUACAGUGGAAAUUGUACAGGGACGUGGUGCUAGAGACAUACAGAAAUGUGGUGUCCUUGGGAUGAUCUGCAACCUGCUCACUGUAUGAGUGCUCAUUCAAGAAAAUAUGUGACUUAAGCGUUAUUGCUACAAGCAAAAUCCCAGCUUCUCUAUCACAUUGCUAGGACUCAGAGGUGUAGAAAUGGUUCUUAGGAUAUGAAAAUUUCAAUGAUUUCUGGUAAAGGUGCUGUCAGAAAAAGUAUUUGCAGUGAUCCUUUUCCAGAACCUUCUAUACUGUCCCCUCUACUGAACACACUACUGUAUUGGGAAUUUGAGUAU
Long non-coding RNA from Talpa occidentalis (Iberian mole), 591 nucleotides. RefSeq lists it as uncharacterized. The transcript is spliced from 3 exons. The record is from RefSeq and is a predicted model, not a curated record. NCBI's taxonomy places the organism in Eukaryota, Metazoa, Chordata, Mammalia, Eulipotyphla, Talpidae.